Molecule: unclassified non-coding RNA, 344 nt
Filed under: soil metagenome
Description: partial contains 5.8S ribosomal RNA, internal transcribed spacer 2, and large subunit ribosomal RNA
Rfam family: 5.8S ribosomal RNA (bases 1-119)
Source: RNAcentral
GAUGAAGAACUCAGCGAAAUGCGAUACGUAAUGUGAAUUGCAAAUUCAGUGAAUCAUCGAGUCUUUGAACGCACAUUGCGCCCCCUGGUAUUCCGGGGGGCAUGCCUGUCCGAGCGUCAUUGCUGCCCUCAAGCACGGCUUGUGUGUUGGGCCCCGUCCUCCGAUCCCGGGGGACGGGCCCGAAAGGCAGCGGCGGCACCGCGUCCGGUCCUCGAGCGUAUGGGGCUUUGUCACCCGCUCUGUAGGCCCGGCCGGCGCUUGCCGAUCAACCCAAAUUUUUAUCCAGGUUGACCUCGGAUCAGGUAGGGAUACCCGCUGAACUUAAGCAUAUCAAUAAGCGAGGA